RNAcentral lists this long non-coding RNA (244 nucleotides) under Dasypus novemcinctus (nine-banded armadillo). RNAcentral describes it as "lncRNA (ENSDNOG00000051090.1)". Lineage: Eukaryota; Metazoa; Chordata; Mammalia; Cingulata; Dasypodidae. The record is from RNAcentral.
GAUCUGGCCACCCCUGGGGUGUGGGGAGGUGGGAGCGGGAGGCACAGACGCCCGAGCAGCUAGCGAAUUCCAUUUAAAGUGUCUUCUGCAUUCGAGAAAACACCUUUGAAGACACCGGUGCGGGUUCCUCGGAAGAAAGUUGGGUUACCCAGCACUGAAACACACGAUGCUCGUGUGACAAAGAUUUGACUUAAAAGAGAAUAGAGUGGAUACUUAGAAGUCAAUCAGAACCACCGUGGGCAAG